RNAcentral lists this ribosomal RNA (484 nucleotides) under uncultured bacterium. RNAcentral's name for it is "partial 16S ribosomal RNA". It matches the Rfam family "Bacterial small subunit ribosomal RNA", at positions 30 to 507 of the family's 1533-position model. The record is from RNAcentral.
AUUGAACGCUGGCGGCAUGCCUAACACAUGCAAGUCGAGCGGAUGAAGUGAGCUUGCUCCUGGAUUCAGCGGCAGACGGGUGAGUAAUGCCUAGGAAUCUGCCUUGUAGUGGGGGAUAACGUCCGGAAACGGGCGCUAAUACCGCAUACGUCCUGUGGGAGAAAGUGGGGGGUCUUCGGACCUCACGCUAUCAUAUGAGCCUAGGUCGGUUUAGCUAGUUGGUGGGGUAAAUGCCUACCAAGGCGACGAUCCGUAACUGGUCUGAGAGGAUGAUCAGUAACACUGGAACUGAGACACGGUAGAGACUCCUACGGGAGGCAGCAGUGGGGAAUAUUGGACGAUGGGCGAAAGCCUGAUACAGCCAAGCCGCGUGUGUGAAGAAGGUCUUCGGAUUGUAAAGCACUUUAAGUUGGGAGGAAGGGCAGUAAGUUAAUACCUUGCUGUUUUGACGGUACCAACAGAAUAAGCACCGGCUAACUUCGUG